This is an unclassified non-coding RNA of Papio anubis (olive baboon), 117 nucleotides long. It matches the Rfam family "Metazoan signal recognition particle RNA". Rfam says of the family: The signal recognition particle (SRP) is a universally conserved ribonucleoprotein. It is involved in the co-translational targeting of proteins to membranes. The eukaryotic SRP consists of a 300-nucleotide 7S RNA and six proteins: SRPs 72, 68, 54, 19, 14, and 9. NCBI's taxonomy places the organism in Eukaryota, Metazoa, Chordata, Mammalia, Primates, Cercopithecidae. The record is from Ensembl.
GCCGGGUGUGGUGGCUCAUGCCUGUAAUCCCAGUACUUUGGGAGGCUGAGGUGGGCGGAUCACCUGAGGUCAGGAGUUCCAGACUAGCCUGACCAACAUGGAGAAACCCCGUCUCUA